RNAcentral lists this small RNA (1302 nucleotides) under Caenorhabditis elegans. RNAcentral's name for it is "Unclassified non-coding RNA T17A3.14". Lineage: Eukaryota; Metazoa; Nematoda; Chromadorea; Rhabditida; Rhabditidae. The record is from RNAcentral.
AGUGAGCAUCUCUUUUACCUCAAAAGUUGCAAAACGACACGUUGAGGCGUUGAAUAUGAAAGUUUCCCAUAUUCAAAUGAUGUUGUCACGGCAAACGAUGAGAAUAAUGGUUAAAUUGGAUGGUACUUUAAAAUUAACUUUCCAAACUCCCGACGAGAAUGAUUCUGAGCCGCGGAAAUUAAACAAAAAACUGAGUUAUAUGAAAGUGAAAAAAGGCCCAAUUGCUGAGAAAACAAAAGUAUUUUAUUGGAAACCGCCGGGUUUUACGUUUCGAACAGUACAUGUUUGCUCUAUUUUCAUGGAAGAUCUUAAGUUUCAUAGAGACAUAUUGAUGAAGUAUUCGCGCCAAUUUAAUAAGCUUACUCUAGACUAUCAUUCAUUGAAAUCUCAAGAGUUUCACUCAAUUCUCAGUCUUAACUACGAUAGAUUUUGCCUGGAAAAAGCUACCAAACUAGAAGAUUUAUUGGUUUCAAAUAUUUCCGAAAUGCACAUUGAUUAUCCAUCACCCUUAAAACAGGUAUGUCUAUUCCUGAAGCAUUGGAUUAAUGGAUCAAACAAACGAUUGGAAUAUCUUGAAAUAAAACUUCCCGCCAGAUCAACUGAAACCCAAUUUAUUUCGAUUGCCUUGAAUGGUAUUAAAUAUCAAUUGGCACCAAUUGACAAAAAGUGGGAGUUUCUCAAUAAUAGGUUUAUAAAAACCACUGUCGUUAAAGCUGGAGGAUAUGAUAUCAGACAAAACGAUGGAACCAUUGCAACUGUCACUUUUUAUGAAGCCUUUCCAUAUUUGCGUAUGUUCGUGUGGAAAUGAUAAAUUACUCAAAAAAUAAGUGUGUACUUCUUUAAUGAUUGUUUUGAAUAAAGUACUGUUUUUAAACUCGAGGUUUGAUUUUAAGUGCUUACAAUAUUGAUAUUGAUACAGUUACUGCGGAUUUAGUGGAUUGUUGAGAAGAAGAGAGAGCCGUCAUUAUUUGAAAAGUGGAUUUCUGCUAUAUCUGUGUUAGACGUCAUCGAUUCGGUUGGGCUCAAUAUUGAAAAUUGGUUAGAACCAAGUAGACACUACGACUUAAUGAUCGAUGCACCAUGUUUCAAGUGAGAACGGGUAGUUGAUUAUCUAGUGGAGCGUUCAUUGCGCAGCUGGAAUGCGGUGUCUAAUCGAUCGAUGAUCAAACGUCUGUUGGCCAACCAAACCUCCCAUUCCAGUCAUUCAUUCUCUUUACAACCAUGACGAACGGUUUCCCAAUUCUUCGAUUACCUUCAAAACCUCUACGUUCUAUACUUCAAACGAUGAAAUUUGUAGAAUUG